AUUUGAACUAGAUUGAAAUUUAAAUGGAUAUUCUUUUCUAUGUAACUGAGUCAAGAGUCAGCAUAAAGCAAUUACAUACGUAUCUAAAAGUUCAAGAAUAUGGUUAGCAUAAAGCAAUUACAUAUGCACAUACAGCAUCAAACUACAGCUAACAACUAAUGACAUAAACAUGCAACUCCCGAAGUAAAAGCUCGUAGUAUUCAAGAGGCUCUGAACACAAUGUAUUGGUACACGAGAUCAAUGUACAUCGUUUCUAAUACAUGACCACAACCAUGUGUAGUUAACUUGGAUUUGGUUGAUUUCACAUUCCCUAUACACCAAACAGAAAUUUUCACCAAGAAUGCAUUUAUGUACAAAGAUUCAAU
This 365-nucleotide long non-coding RNA is filed under the name Olea europaea subsp. europaea. The record is from RNAcentral. Lineage: Eukaryota; Viridiplantae; Streptophyta; Magnoliopsida; Lamiales; Oleaceae.